RNAcentral lists this ribosomal RNA (598 nucleotides) under Streptomyces sp. SID10692. RNAcentral describes it as "bacterial SSU rRNA". It matches the Rfam family "Bacterial small subunit ribosomal RNA", at positions 1 to 614 of the family's 1533-position model. Lineage: Bacteria; Bacillati; Actinomycetota; Actinomycetes; Kitasatosporales; Streptomycetaceae. The record is from RNAcentral.
CAUUCACGGAGAGUUUGAUCCUGGCUCAGGACGAACGCUGGCGGCGUGCUUAACACAUGCAAGUCGAACGAUGAAGCCUUUCGGGGUGGAUUAGUGGCGAACGGGUGAGUAACACGUGGGCAAUCUGCCCUUCACUCUGGGACAAGCCCUGGAAACGGGGUCUAAUACCGGAUAACACUCUGUCCUGCAUGGGACGGGGUUGAAAGCUCCGGCGGUGAAGGAUGAGCCCGCGGCCUAUCAGCUUGUUGGUGGGGUAAUGGCCUACCAAGGCGACGACGGGUAGCCGGCCUGAGAGGGCGACCGGCCACACUGGGACUGAGACACGGCCCAGACUCCUACGGGAGGCAGCAGUGGGGAAUAUUGCACAAUGGGCGAAAGCCUGAUGCAGCGACGCCGCGUGAGGGAUGACGGCCUUCGGGUUGUAAACCUCUUUCAGCAGGGAAGAAGCGCAAGUGACGGUACCUGCAGAAGAAGCGCCGGCUAACUACGUGCCAGCAGCCGCGGUAAUACGUAGGGCGCAAGCGUUGUCCGGAAUUAUUGGGCGUAAAGAGCUCGUAGGCGGCUUGUCACGUCGGAUGUGAAAGCCCGGGGCUUAACC